This 467-nucleotide ribosomal RNA is filed under the name uncultured bacterium. RNAcentral's name for it is "partial 16S ribosomal RNA". It matches the Rfam family "Bacterial small subunit ribosomal RNA", at positions 28 to 507 of the family's 1533-position model. The record is from RNAcentral.
GACGAACGCUGGCGGCGUGCUUAACACAUGCAAGUCGAACGGAAAGGCCCUGCUUUUGUGGGGUGCUCGAGUGGCGAACGGGUGAGUAACACGUGAGUAACCUGCCCUUGACUUUGGGAUAACUUCAGGAAACUGGGGCUAAUACCGGAUAGGAGCUCCUGCUGCAUGGUGGGGGUUGGAAAGUUUCGGCGGUUGGGGAUGGACUCGCGGCUAUCAGCUUGUUGGUGGGGUAGUGGCUUACCAAGGCUUUGACGGGUAGCCGGCCUGAGAGGGUGACCGGCCACAUUGGGACUGAGAUACGGCCCAGACUCCUACGGGAGGCAGCAGUGGGGAAUAUUGCACAAUGGGCGGAAGCCUGAUGCAGCAACGCCGCGUGCGGGAUGACGGCCUUCGGGUUGUAAACCGCUUUCGCCUGUGACGAAGCGUGAGUGACGGUAAUGGGUAAAGAAGCACCGGCUAACUACGUG